AACGCACAUUGCGCCCCCUGGUAUUCCGGGGGGCAUGCCUGUCCGAGCGUCAUUGCUGCCCUCAAGCCCGGCUUGUGUGUUGGGCCCCGUCCUCCGAUUCCGGGGGACGGGCCCGAAAGGCAGCGGCGGCACCGCGUCCGGUCCUCGAGCGUAUGGGGCUUUGUCACCCGCUCUGUAGGCCCGGCCGGCGCUUGCCGAUCAACCCAAAUUUUUAUCCAGGUUGACCUCGGAUCAGGUAGGGAUACCCGCUGAACUUAA
This 258-nucleotide unclassified non-coding RNA is filed under the name uncultured Penicillium. RNAcentral's name for it is "partial contains 5.8S ribosomal RNA, internal transcribed spacer 2, and large subunit ribosomal RNA". The stretch from base 1 to 52 matches the Rfam family "5.8S ribosomal RNA", at positions 103 to 154 of the family's 154-position model. Lineage: Eukaryota; Fungi; Ascomycota; Eurotiomycetes; Eurotiales; Aspergillaceae. The record is from RNAcentral.